Molecule: transfer-messenger RNA, 365 nt
Filed under: Streptococcaceae bacterium
Lineage: Bacteria; Bacillati; Bacillota; Bacilli; Lactobacillales; Streptococcaceae
Rfam family: transfer-messenger RNA
About the family: Bacterial tmRNA, also known as 10Sa RNA or SsrA, is named for its dual tRNA and mRNA-like properties.
Source: RNAcentral
GGGGUUGUUACGGAUUCGACAGGCAUAGUUUGAGCAGGGAUUGCGCUUCGUAGGUUACGUCUACGUUAAAACGUUACCAGUUAAAUAUAACUGCAAAAACAAACAAUUCUUACGCUUUAGCUGCCUAAAAAACAGUUUGGCGUGAUCGCUCCGGUUUCACCCAUGAGCUCGGAUACGCGGUCUUACUUUAGUGGGAUACGAUUUUAGUUUCCGUCUGCAACUAGGAUAAGAGAACAUCAGACUCAUCCUGUUAUUGAAGUUUGUGUUGCUGCUUUUAACAGGAAAAAUCAAAUGCAACUCUAUGAGCGUAGAGGUCUUUGUGGCAAUGUGUUUGGACAGGGGUUCAAUUCCCCUCAGCUCCAUAA